Molecule: long non-coding RNA, 427 nt
Organism: Panicum virgatum (switchgrass)
Lineage: Eukaryota; Viridiplantae; Streptophyta; Magnoliopsida; Poales; Poaceae
Exons: 2
Source: RefSeq, a predicted model, not a curated record
CUUCAUGAAGAAAAUCGGAAGGUUAACAAUCAUGUGAGCCGAAUGGAAGAAGAGUGGGCACAAAUAAAGAAGUGUGAGUGCUAAUUGUAGCCAACAUGAAUAGCCAGUAUCUGGUAGGGAUCAGGAUGGAGAAGAUUAUUAGAAGCAAGACAAGUGAAUGGUUCUUGAGGAGGCCUCUUGCUGCUAGGAUUAGCCUUAAGUUAGUCUCUGCUAGUUUCUGUCCUGGACAGAUUGUUUUUUCUCUUUCAGAAAGAAACAUCUUCAAGUACUGUGAUUUACAAUUAUGUUUGUUUUUGUAAAUUUAUUUAUUUUACUUGCAUUCUCCUUUUAAAAGGUAUGUGGUCGUUGCACGUGGUACAAAGUGGUGCCAAUGUAAAAACAUUACCUAUACCAAUGUGGUUGCUAAAGUUGUUGAAGUGGUCGUUAA